This 347-nucleotide ribosomal RNA is filed under the name Meloidogyne hapla. Its description in RNAcentral is "partial 16S ribosomal RNA". Lineage: Eukaryota; Metazoa; Nematoda; Chromadorea; Rhabditida; Meloidogynidae. The record is from RNAcentral.
UUUUAUUUUGAUAUUAUUUUUUAUUGUUGAAAAAAUUAAUAAUAAUUUAUUGUUAAUAAAAAUUAAAAUUUAUAAUAUUUUUAUUUUUAUUUUUUAGUUUUAAAUAAAAAAAAUAAAAUUUAUAUAUAUAAAAAUUUUGUUAUAAAUUAUAAUAGUUUAUUUAUUUGUUUUUUAUAAUAAAUAAUAGUAUUUUUUUUUAUUAUUUUAUAAAAAAAAAUAAUUUAAUUAUAAUUAUUAAAAGUAAUUUUGUUAUUUAGAAUAAUAUAUUAAUAUAAAUAACAAAAAUAUUAAAUAUUUUUUAAAUUUUUUGGGGAUUUAAGUUAUAAUUUUUUGUGUCUGCUCAGUGA